RNAcentral lists this ribosomal RNA (663 nucleotides) under Duganella alba. RNAcentral's name for it is "bacterial SSU rRNA". It matches the Rfam family "Bacterial small subunit ribosomal RNA", at positions 870 to 1533 of the family's 1533-position model. The record is from RNAcentral. Lineage: Bacteria; Pseudomonadati; Pseudomonadota; Betaproteobacteria; Burkholderiales; Oxalobacteraceae.
CGCCUGGGGAGUACGGUCGCAAGAUUAAAACUCAAAGGAAUUGACGGGGACCCGCACAAGCGGUGGAUGAUGUGGAUUAAUUCGAUGCAACGCGAAAAACCUUACCUACCCUUGACAUGUACGGAAGACCGAAGAGAUUUGGUUGUGCUCGAAAGAGAGCCGUAACACAGGUGCUGCAUGGCUGUCGUCAGCUCGUGUCGUGAGAUGUUGGGUUAAGUCCCGCAACGAGCGCAACCCUUGUCAUUAGUUGCUACGAAAGAGCACUCUAAUGAGACUGCCGGUGACAAACCGGAGGAAGGUGGGGAUGACGUCAAGUCCUCAUGGCCCUUAUGGGUAGGGCUUCACACGUCAUACAAUGGUACAUACAGAGGGCCGCCAACCCGCGAGGGGGAGCUAAUCCCAGAAAGUGUAUCGUAGUCCGGAUUGUAGUCUGCAACUCGACUGCAUGAAGUUGGAAUCGCUAGUAAUCGCGGAUCAGCAUGUCGCGGUGAAUACGUUCCCGGGUCUUGUACACACCGCCCGUCACACCAUGGGAGCGGGUUUUACCAGAAGUAGGUAGCUUAACCGUAAGGAGGGCGCUUACCACGGUAGGAUUCGUGACUGGGGUGAAGUCGUAACAAGGUAGCCGUAUCGGAAGGUGCGGCUGGAUCACCUCCUUUCUAG